CGGGGGUGGGGGGGGGGAGAUGGGGGAAGGGUGGAGAGGCGGUACGGAGGGGCGAAUGUUAGGUGUGCAGGUGUACCUAUUUUGGUAGUACUAGCUGGCUUGGCGUUGAAGAGGCUUCUUGUUUGCGUCCUGAUGAAAGAGGGAAAACCACCAGUUUCCAUGUUCUUAAGCAGAUGCCCUGUGAUCUUAAAAUUUCUUCAGUAACUUUAACCAUAUUUGUACGCUCUAGCCUAGUAAUUUCACAUGUGGGAUAGCCAUUUUAGGAAAUUGGCCUACCAGAGAAAAAAUAAAACGAUGAUGUCCGUUGUAGGAGUAUAACAGGAAAAUUGAAAAAGAACCUCAAGUUCCACGAGAGAAGUGGUUAAGUAAACUAACAUCUUCAGAAUGAGAUAUUUUGUGAUGUUUUCCACAUUUAAGGUAGUUUCAACAUCAAUGUAAAUUUUUUCUAUAUAUAAUAAUUCAUCAUUUACUCUUCAACAAAGAAUUGAUGAGUUGGAGAAGUGCUCUAUUCAUGGUAAGUUAAAAAUGCAGGAUAUAAAAUUGCAUAUGGGAUAUGAUGUGUGUACAUCUUAGUUUAAAAAAAAAGGGGGGGGGGAACAAAGCAACUAUUUGUGUAUCAAAUGUACACCGAAGUACUAAUAGUAAUUAUUUGUGGGUAGCGGAAAUAUGGCUGAUAUUUUUCUCCUUUUGGUCUACUUUGCAUUUUCCCCAACAAGCAUUUACUGCUUUUGUAGUAGGAAGAAUAGAGUGAAAAUUAAUGUAAAAAAGGGCACAGUUUAAUAAAAUUUCUCACUCAGAGUUCAUACAUUCAGAAGCAAAUUAUCGAGCAUAUUAUGUACACUCCUUUCAGGGUUGGCCACAGGAGAAGGAUAAAACAUAAUCGCUGCCCUAAAAGAGAGUAUCUUCUAGUAGAGGAGCUCAGAUACAUAUACAAAAAACAGCUGGGUAUCCGUACAAGUCAGCGUGUGAUGUUGGUUCCAAAGUUGACCUGUAUAGGUUUAUACACAAAUACAUAUUUUAUGGAAACACAAGAAACUAGUCAUUGUGGCUGCCUCCACAGUGGGAACUGUAGGACAAGGGAAGAAAGGGCUGAGGACAGAGCUGGGGCCAACUACUGCGGCACAGAGCGUGGACCACCGCGGGCCCACAGUGUAUAUUUCAGUUUGCUUUUGUCGUCUGAAUGA
Molecule: long non-coding RNA, 1184 nt
Organism: Mustela putorius furo (domestic ferret)
Lineage: Eukaryota; Metazoa; Chordata; Mammalia; Carnivora; Mustelidae
Source: Ensembl